AUUGAACGCUGGCGGCAGGCUUAACACAUGCAAGUCGAGCGGAAACGAUGAUAGCUUGCUAUCAGGCGUCGAGCGGCGGACGGGUGAGUAAUACUUAGGAAUCUACCUAGUAGUGGGGGAUAGCACGGGGAAACUCGUAUUAAUACCGCAUACGACCUACGGGAGAAAGGGGGCAGUUUACUGCUCUCGCUAUUAGAUGAGCCUAAGUCGGAUUAGCUAGAUGGUGGGGUAAAGGCCUACCAUGGCGACGAUCUGUAGCUGGUCUGAGAGGAUGAUCAGCCACACCGGGACUGAGACACGGCCCGGACUCCUACGGGAGGCAGCAGUGGGGAAUAUUGGACAAUGGGGGAAACCCUGAUCCAGCCAUGCCGCGUGUGUGAAGAAGGCCUUUUGGUUGUAAAGCACUUUAAGCAGUGAAGAAGACUCCGUGGUUAAUACCCACGGACGAUGACAUUAGCUGCAGAAUAAGCACCGGCUAACUCUGUGCCAGCAGCCGCGGUAAUACAGAGGGUGCAAGCGUUAAUCGGAAUUACUGGGCGUAAAGGGAGCGUAGGUGGCUCGAUAAGUCAGAUGUGAAAUCCCCGGGCUCAACCUGGGAACUGCAUCUGAUACUGUUGAGCUAGAGUAUGUGAGAGGAAGGUAGAAUUCCAGGUGUAGCGGUGAAAUGCGUAGAGAUCUGGAGGAAUACCGAUGGCGAAGGCAGCCUUCUGGCAUAAUACUGACACUGAGGCUCGAAAGCGUGGGUAGCAAACAGGAUUAGAUACCCUGGUAGUCCACGCCGUAAACGAUGUCUACUAGUCGUUGGGUCCCUUGAGGACUUAGUGACGCAGCUAACGCAAUAAGUAGACCGCCUGGGGAGUACGGCCGCAAGGUUAAAACUCAAAUGAAUUGACGGGGGCCCGCACAAGCGGUGGAGCAUGUGGUUUAAUUCGAUGCAACGCGAAGAACCUUACCUGGUCUUGACAUAUCUAGAAUCCUGCAGAGAUGCGGGAGUGCCUUCGGGAAUUAGAAUACAGGUGCUGCAUGGCUGUCGUCAGCUCGUGUCGUGAGAUGUUGGGUUAAGUCCCGCAACGAGCGCAACCCUUGUCCUUAGUUACCAGCGGGUUAAGCCGGGAACUCUAAGGAUACUGCCAGUGACAAACUGGAGGAAGGCGGGGACGACGUCAAGUCAUCAUGGCCCUUACGACCAGGGCUACACACGUGCUACAAUGGUAGGUACAGAGGGCAGCUACACAGCGAUGUGAUGCGAAUCUCAAAAAGCCUAUCGUAGUCCAGAUUGGAGUCUGCAACUCGACUCCAUGAAGUAGGAAUCGCUAGUAAUCGCGGAUCAGAAUGCCGCGGUGAAUACGUUCCCGGGCCUUGUACACACCGCCCGUCACACCAUGGGAGUUGAUUGCACCAGAAGUGGAUAGCUUAAC
This 1418-nucleotide ribosomal RNA is filed under the name uncultured Gammaproteobacteria bacterium. Its description in RNAcentral is "bacterial SSU rRNA". It matches the Rfam family "Bacterial small subunit ribosomal RNA". The record is from RNAcentral. Lineage: Bacteria; Pseudomonadati; Pseudomonadota; Gammaproteobacteria.